GGACGAACGCUGGCGGCACGCCUAACACAUGCAAGUCGAACGGUGUUGUUAGAGUUACUUGGACAACAUAGUGGCGGACGGGUGAGUAACACGUGAGCAACCUGCCGUUUUGGCGAGGGAUAGCUUCUGGAAACGGAUGGUAAUACCUCAUAACAUAUCAUUAUCGCAUGAUUUUGAUAUCAAAGAAUUUCGCCAAAAAGAUGGGCUCGCGUCUGAUUAGAUAGUUGGUGAGGUAACGGCUCACCAAGUCGACGAUCAGUAGCCGGACUGAGAGGUUGAACGGCCACAUUGGGACUGAGACACGGCCCAGACUCCUACGGGAGGCAGCAGUGAGGGAUAUUGCACAAUGGGGGAAACCCUGAUGCAGCGAUGCCGCGUGGAGGAAGAAGGUUUUCGGAUUGUAAACUCCUGUUUCGAGGGACGAUAAUGACGGUACCUCGGGAGGAAGCUCCGGCUAACUACGUGCCAGCCGCGGC
Molecule: ribosomal RNA, 476 nt
Filed under: uncultured bacterium
Lineage: Bacteria
Description: bacterial SSU rRNA
Rfam family: Bacterial small subunit ribosomal RNA
Source: RNAcentral